CGCUAUUAAAAAUGAGGAAUGAAUUCAAUGUUGGUGUAAUCUAUUUUCUUUCUCUCCUCUUUCUAGAAGAGCACCAAUAUGGAUCAAGGAAGGACUGAAAGGCAGUAAAGGGCACACUAGGACUCUGCACGAAGACAGAGAGAAGAUCCAGCCUCUUGCCAUUUGUGAUUCUCUUUCUUCCUGCCUAUGUGGAUAGCUGCAGUGACACAGUUUACAGGACCUCAUUCGCACUCCAAUGACAAUGAAAGGAAGACGCAAAGAACUCCGUUCCCGGCAACCUUGGCAAAGUCAUUUCCCAGUUCCUGCACCCACUUUCCUUAUCGUGGCAAAAUGAAGGGCUGGAUUAGAAGAGAGAAUCUUUAUGAAUCUUUCCAAUUUUUAACUCCAUUCAAUUCAACAUUUGCCAAGUGGAUACUAUGUUGCAGUCACUGUGCUACAGAGCUCCCAGCUGUAUAAUUUUUGUUUUAUUCCAUCGAAAACUAGAGUCAGGUAGACUAUGCUCCCAUCAGUGCUGGAAUUGGCACAUAUAACUUGCUUUAGCUGAUGAAAUGUUACCAAACGCAACAUGAUCAAAGGCUUGGGAGAUGAUUUCCCUCCUGUGCUUCUGCAAUUGCCAUGGAAAGAACAUGGUCUGGUGGUCCCUGAUCCCUAAAGAAUGAAAGACACAUGGAAAAGGCUUGGCAUAAAUGUGCAGUUUGGAGUCAAGCCCAACCUAGAUCAGACAACAUUUAGCCAACCUUCAGAUUCGUGAAC
This 753-nucleotide long non-coding RNA is filed under the name Rhinopithecus bieti (black snub-nosed monkey). RNAcentral describes it as "lncRNA (ENSRBIG00000046676.1)". Lineage: Eukaryota; Metazoa; Chordata; Mammalia; Primates; Cercopithecidae. The record is from RNAcentral.